Molecule: ribosomal RNA, 160 nt
Filed under: Nullicamyces eucalypti
Lineage: Eukaryota; Fungi; Ascomycota; Eurotiomycetes; Chaetothyriales; Chaetothyriaceae
Description: 5.8S ribosomal RNA
Rfam family: 5.8S ribosomal RNA
About the family: 5.8S ribosomal RNA (5.8S rRNA) is a component of the large subunit of the eukaryotic ribosome. It is transcribed by RNA polymerase I as part of the 45S precursor that also contains 18S and 28S rRNA.
Source: RNAcentral
AAACUUUCAACAACGGAUCUCUUGGUUCUGGCAUCGAUGAAGAACGCAGCAAAAUGCGAUAAGUAAUGCGAAUUGCAGAAUUUCCGUGAGUCAUCGAAUCUUUGAACGCACAUUGCGCCCUUUGGUAUUCCGAAGGGCAUGCCUGUUCGAGCGUCAUUAU